GAUGAAGAACGCAGUGAAAUGCGAUAAGUAAUGUGAAUUGCAGAAUUCAGUGAAUCAUCGAAUCUUUGAACGCACAUUGCGCCCCCUGGUAUUCCGGGGGGCAUGCCUGUUCGAGCGUCAUUUCACCACUCAAGCCUCGCUUGGUAUUGGGCAACGCGGUCCGCCGCGUGCCUCAAAUCGUCCGGCUGGGUCUUCUGUCCCCUAAGCGUUGUGGAAACUAUUCGCUAAAGGGUGUUCGGGAGGCUACGCCGUAAAACAACCCCAUUUCUAAGGUUGACCUCGGAUCAGGUAGGGAUACCCGCUGAACUUAAGCAUAUCAAUAAGCGGAGGA
Molecule: unclassified non-coding RNA, 331 nt
Filed under: soil metagenome
Description: partial contains 5.8S ribosomal RNA, internal transcribed spacer 2, and large subunit ribosomal RNA
Rfam family: 5.8S ribosomal RNA (bases 1-120)
Source: RNAcentral